GUAAGGAAUAUUGGACAAUGGGGGAAACCCUGAUCCAGCCAUGCCGCGUGAGUGAAGAAGGCCUUCGGGUUGUAAAGCUCUUUCAGAUGUGAAGAUGAUGACGGUAACAUCAGAAGAAGCUCCGGCUAACUUCGUGCCAGCAGCCGCGGUAAUACGAAGGGAGCGAGCGUUGUUCGGAAUCACUGGGCGUAAAGAGUGCGUAGGGGGUUAUACAAGUCAGGAGUGAAAUCCCAGGGCUCAACCCUGGAAUUGCUUUUGAAACUGUAUAGCUAGAGUCCCGGAGGGGUUAAUGGAAUUCCGAGUGUAGAGGUGAAAUUCGCAGAUAUUCGGAGGAACACCAGUGGCGAAGGCGAUUAACUGGACGGGCACUGACGCUGAGGCACGAAAGCGUGGGGAUCAAACAGGAUUAGAUACCCGUGUAGUCC
RNAcentral lists this ribosomal RNA (425 nucleotides) under uncultured bacterium. Its description in RNAcentral is "partial 16S ribosomal RNA". It matches the Rfam family "Bacterial small subunit ribosomal RNA", at positions 354 to 796 of the family's 1533-position model. The record is from RNAcentral.